AAUCCAUGUUUAGUUGUCACGUGCACCGAAUACAACAGGUGUAGUAGACCUUACAGUGAAAUGCUGAAUACAACAGGUGUAGUAGACCUUACAGUGAAAUGCUGAAUACAACAGGUGUAGGUAGACCUUACAGUGAAAUGCUGAAUACAACAGGUGUAGUAGACCUUACAGUGAAAUGCUGAAUACAACAGGUGUAGUAGACCUUACAGUGAAAUGCUGAAUACAACAGGUGUAGGUAGACCUUACAGUGAAAUGCUGAAUACAACAGGUGUAGUAGACCUUACAGUGAAAUGCUGAAUACAACAGGUGUAGGUAGACCUUACAGUGAAAUGCUGAAUACAGUAGGUGUAGUAGACCUUACAGUGAAAUGCUGAAUACAACAGGUGUAGUAGACCUUACAGUGAAAUGCUGAAUACAACAGGUGUAGUAGACCUUACAGUGAAAUGCUGAAUAAAACAGGCAUAGAUAGACCUUACAGUGAAAUGCUGAAUAAAACAGGUGUAGGUAGACCUUACAGUGAACUGCUGAAUAAAACAGGUGUAGGUAGACCUUACAGUGAAAUGCUUACUUACAGGCUCUAAC
Oncorhynchus tshawytscha (Chinook salmon) is the source of this 582-nucleotide long non-coding RNA. Lineage: Eukaryota; Metazoa; Chordata; Actinopteri; Salmoniformes; Salmonidae. The record is from Ensembl.